CCCAGACUCCUACGGGAGGCAGCAGUGGGGAAUAUUGGGCAAUGGGCGCAAGCCUGACCCAGCAACGCCGCGUGAAGGAAGAAGGCUUUCGGGUUGUAAACUUCUUUUCUCAGGGACGAAGAAAGUGACGGUACCUGAGGAAUAAGCCACGGCUAACUACGUGCCAGCAGCCGCGGUAAUACGUAGGGGGCAAGCGUUAUCCGGAUUUACUGGGUGUAAAGGGGGCGCAGACGGCAAUGCAAGCCAGGAGUGAAAGCCCGGGGCCCAACCCCGGGACUGCUCUUGGAACUGCAUGGCUGGAGUACAGGAGGGGCAGGCGGAAUUCCUAGUGUAGCGGUGAAAUGCGUAGAUAUUAGGAGGAACACCGGUGGCGAAGGCGGCCUGCUGGACUGUGACUGACGUUGAGGCCCGAAGGCGUGGGGAGCAAACAGGAUUAGAUACCCGUGUA
This 448-nucleotide ribosomal RNA is filed under the name uncultured bacterium. RNAcentral describes it as "partial 16S ribosomal RNA". It matches the Rfam family "Bacterial small subunit ribosomal RNA", at positions 330 to 792 of the family's 1533-position model. The record is from RNAcentral.